AAUAAUUUGAUUAUAAUGAAUUGGUUAAUUGAAAAGUGUAUAAAGCUCGCCAAUCAAAUCUAAAUAUUGUAAUAAUUUCAUAAAUUUUUGGGUGUAUAAAGUCAUGGUAAAAAAAUAGGUACUUAUAAUAAAAAUAACAUGAUAACGGCAUGACCAUCAUCGACAAUUAGUAGAGUUGCUGAUGUUGGUAUAAGAGAUUUGAUUCCUUCAUUAUGAGCCUUGAAUACAGGCGCCGAGAUGUUGGUAUAAGAGAUUUGAUUCCUUCAUUAUGAGCCUUGAAUACAACAGACUCUGUUCAGAUCCGUGUGCAUACUAUAUGAGAUUUGGUGAUAAUGAUUUCAUUAUCUUGCUGUUGUACGUUGACGACAUGUUGGUAGCAGGCCCCAACAAAGAUCGUAUUGAAAACUUGAAGGCACAGUUGGCAAGGGAAUUUGAAAUGAAGGACUUGGGACAGGCAAACAAGAUUCUAGAAAUGCAAAUUUACCAAGACAGAAAUAAUAGGAAGAUUUCGCUUAAUCAGAAGAACUACUUGAAGAAAAUCUUGCGUCGCUUCAAUAUGCAAGAUUGUAAGCCAAUUUCUACCCCACUUUCUAUUAAUUUCAAGUUAUCCUCAAGUAUGAGUCCUAGCAAUGAAGCAGAGAGGAUGGAGAUGUCUCGAGUGCCAUAUGCAUCAGCAGUGGGUAGUUUGAUGUUUGCUAUGAUUUGUAUAAGACCAGACAUUGCACAAGCAGUGGGAGCGGUUAGUCGAUACAUGGCAAAUCCUGGUAAAGAGCAUUGGAGUACUGUGAAGAGAAUCCUGAGAUAUGUCAAGGGUACCUCAAAUGCUACAUUAUGUUAUGGAGGAUCAGACUUUAUUGUCAGAGGUUAUGUUGAUUCAGAUUAUGCAGGUGAUCUUGAUAAAAGCAAAUCCACCACAGGAUAUGUGUUUACUCUUGCUGGAGGAGCUGUAAGCUGGGUUUCGAAACUGCAGUCUAUCGUGGCUACUUCUACUAUAGAGGCAGAAUACGUGGCAGCUACACAAGCCAGUAAAGAGGCAAUCUGGUUGCAAAUGAUAAUGGAGGAACUCGGACACAAACUAGAGAAGAUUGCUCUAUUUUGUAAUAGUCAGAGCGCUUUGCAUUUGGCAAAGAAUCCAGCAUUCCAUCAGAGGACAAAGCAUAUUCGAGUUCAAUAUCACUUUGUUCGAGAGAAGGUGGAGGAAGGAAGUAUGGAUAUACAGAAGAUCCAUACAGCAGAUAACCUAGCAGAUAUGUUAACAAAACCGAUCGGAACUGACAAGUUUAGAUGGUGUCGAUCCUCCAUCGGCCUAGCAGAAACGUAAGUAGUAUGGAAAAGGCAAGUAUGGGAAGGAUGAAGUUGUCAACAAAAGUGACUUUAAGUGGGAGAAAUGUUGAAUAUUAAAGCCACAAUUGUUGACUCCAAUAAUUAUUGUCGAAACUUCAUGAAGAAGUUUUCAAGUUUCAAGUGACCAACUUGAAUUUGAAUUCUUUUCCACCAAUCACAACUUGGAAGUGGCAAAGUUGAAGUGAAACUCUCCUAGUCACCAUAUUUGACUAUUUAAGAAGAAAUUAUCUAUUGAAAUUCUUCUUGUUUUCAUGUAGAUACUUCCAUUAAGGAGGUUAACAAUUUCUAUAAAUAGAGGUAGAUGUGGGGAGAGAGAAUGCAAGCAACUUGAGAGGAAUUAGAGAGUAGAGAGAAGAUUGGGAGUAGAGAGAAAAAAAUAUAUAUUAGUUUCUCCUAAGCAUUACCUCCCUGUAUUCUCAUAUUACAAGAGAGAUUAAUUGUUGUUCUCUCCUUGUAUUUAGAGAGUGUUGUAAUUCUCCUACUAUAGUGAAAUCCUCCUAUACUUGCCCGUGGACAUAGUCUAAAUUGGGUGAACCACGUAAAUACUUGUGUCCAUUUUCAGCUGCGAUUUCUCAAUUCCAUUUUGUUGUAAAGCCAAAAUCGACUCACGUCUACCUCUAUUUAUAGAAAUUGUUAACCUCCUUAAUGGAAGUAUCUACAUGAAAAUAAGAAGAAUUUCAAUAGAAAUUUUCUUCUUAAAUAGUCAAAUAUGGUGGCUAGGAGAGUUUCACUUCAAUUUUGCCACUUCCAAGUUGUGAUUGGUGGAAAGGAAUUCAAAUUCAAGUUGGUCACUUACAACUUGAAAACUUCUUCAUGAAGUUUCAACAAUAUUAUUGGAGUCAACAAUUGUGACUUUAAUAUUCAACAGCUGAGUUAAGUUUUAACUAAAAUUUGAAAAGCUUGAUGCCAUUAUAUAAAAUGAGGAAAUUACGUAG
Molecule: long non-coding RNA, 2279 nt
Filed under: Olea europaea subsp. europaea
Lineage: Eukaryota; Viridiplantae; Streptophyta; Magnoliopsida; Lamiales; Oleaceae
Source: RNAcentral